This 253-nucleotide ribosomal RNA is filed under the name uncultured bacterium. RNAcentral describes it as "partial 16S ribosomal RNA". It matches the Rfam family "Bacterial small subunit ribosomal RNA", at positions 524 to 776 of the family's 1533-position model. The record is from RNAcentral.
UACGGAGGAGGCAAGCGUUAUCCGGAAUUAUUGGGCGUAAAGCGUCCGCAGGUGGCACUUCAAGUCUGUCGUCAAAGACUGGGGCUUAACCCCGGAAAGGCGGUGGAAACUGAAGCGCUAGAGUGCGGUAGGGGUAGAGGGAAUUCCCGGUGUAGCGGUGAAAUGCGUAGAGAUCGGGAAGAACAUCGGUGGCGAAAGCGCUCUACUGGACCGCAACUGACACUGAGAGACGAAAGCUAGGGGAGCGAAUGGG